GUACCACCCCAGGACCCUCCCGGGCUCCCCCUCCUUAUCAUCCGGGUUUCCUGUUUUUUCUUCUUUCUUUUGUUAAUACCACCCAAUGAGUUUUUCUUAUCAAAUAUCACAUUUUAAAAAAAUCUCUAGGGCUGGGGCUGUAGCUCAUUGAUAGAGCACCUGCCUCGCACGUGUGAGCCAUUGGGUUUGAUCCUCAGCACCACAUAAAAAUAAAUAAAGAUACUGUGUCAAUCUACAACCAAAAAAAAUUUACUAAAACAACAACAACAACAAAACCCCACAAACCUCUAGAGUUGGUGCACCGUGGCGCACACCUGUAAUCCCAGUGGCUCAGGAGGCGGAGGCAGGAGGAUCGCAAGUUCAAAGCCAGCCUCAGUAAUUUAGUGAGAUGCUAAGCACCUCAGUGAGACCCUGUCUCUAAAAAAAUACAAAACAGGGCUGGGACGUGGCUCAGUGGUCGAGUGCCCCUGAGUUGAAUCCCUGGUACCUCCCCCGCCUCAAAAAAAAGUCACUAGAAGUUAUUUUUUUGGCGUACUGGGUGCUCUGCCACUGAGCUGCAUCCCAGGCUCUCACAAGUUGCUGGGGCUGACCUUGAAGGUGUGAUUCUCCUGCUCUGGCCGACCCGCGGGAUUCCAGGAGUGCACCGCAUGCCGUCCUUGAUUGCUCGUCUGACAGCACGGUCAACGCUCUUCUCGUCACUCACGUUCAUUUUCUUCUUUUUUUUUUUUUAAUAUUUAUUAUUUAUUUAUUUUUUAGUUUUCAGCAGACACAACAUCUUUGUUUGUAUGUGGUGCUGAGGAUCGAACCCGGGCCGCACGCAUGCCAGGCGAGCGCCCUACUGCUUGAGCCACAUCCCCAGCCCCUCAUUUUCUUCUAAAUACAUUAACACACAGUUCUUUCUCCUGUUUCUGUCACCAAUGAUCACCUCUUGCCUUUCGAGACUGCAUUUCCUGCCCUCUGGGUCUUCUGUGGUCUAGAUGCUGCUGGGCACCUGUCCCUCUGCUGGCCUGCAUCCUGGAGCCGGGCUCCUGCAGUCCACCCAUCUUCCCUCCCACCGAGGACGGCAGGCCUAUGCUACCUGUGUCCAGCUUUUUAGUUGCACAUGGGGAACCACAGCCUGGCAGAAGCAGAAAGGCGUGGAGCCCGUCCAUGUUCCCAGGACAAACACCACUAGAAAGCAGGCCGCGGGGGUGGGGGGUUCUUCACCUAUUUGCUUUGCUUUAAAAGUCACUUCAACGUGGGUUACUUUCCUGAGUGGAGUAACAAUUUCGAAAGAGCUACUUGGGCAUCCGUUUCCCGAUUCCUGAACCUUAAAGGGUCCUCGGCACUUGUUAGGGCGAGUCAGGCCAACUGGGGAGGCCACACCUGUACCCCAGUGACUUGGGAAGCCACGGCAGGAGCACUGUGAGUUUGAGGCCAGACUCAGCAACUUGCCAAGAGCCUGUCUCAAAAAGUUAAGAGCACUGGGUGCAGCUCAGUGGCAGAGAAGCUGCCACAGAGAAAGAUGAGUCAGCAAGGCACCGGCAGACGGAGGUCGCCCACCCCAGCCAGGGCGAUGACCACCACGCUGUUCCCUCAUUUCCCCAGCUGCGGUCAGCUGUGCCCACGGCUUCGGAGGUCACAGAUGAGAGGGGUGCUCCAUCACUGAGCUACACCCCAGCGGGGCUGGCCUUGAAACCCGUGAUCCUCCUGCGUCUGCCUCCCAAAUCGCUGGGAUUACAGGCCUGCACCACCAGACCACCCUCAGCUUGUGCAACCUUUUUAAAAUAAGUUUUUCUUCAUGGAAAAGCUAAUACUCCCCCCCCCCCUUUUCUUGGUACUGGGGAUUGGACCUGGGGUGCUCUACCACUGAGCUACACCCAACCCUCUUUAUUGUUCAGAGACAAGACAGGAUCUCACUAAAUCGCCCAGGAGCCUUGAAUCUGCAACUUUUUGGCUUCAGCCUCCCCAAACACUGGGAUCACAGGCGUGUAAUCCUGCUGCCCGACUAGUGUGAUCUACACUGGGAUCACAGGCAUGUGAUCCUGCUGCCCGACUAGUGUGAUCUACACUGGGAUCACAGGCGUGUGAUCCUGCUGCCCGACUAGUGUGAUUUUCCAAAGAACAAAACUAAACAUUAGGAGACUGGGGUUGUGGCUCAGCAGUGGAUCACUUGCCUUGCAUGUGUGAGGCACUGGAUUCGAAUCUCAGCACCACAUAAAAAUAAAUAAAUAAAGACAUUGUGUCCGUCUACAACUAAAAAAACAUUUAAAAAUGACUUCAGCAUUUCUUUCUAAGCUGUGGCCUCUGCUGGAGGAUGAGAUGAGGAGUGAGAACCUGCAGGAAAGCCCUCCCUGCUCUGACCAGGUGGGACCUGUAGGGCCGAGUGGGAGAGACCCCAACCCUCCUGCCUGCCCUGUCUCCAGCAGCCACAUUCCUGGGGUUUGACCUUUGCACUCCGGCCACACCCUCUCUCCGGCCUGGCCUUCCUCUGCACAGCUGCGGGGAGAGCAGGAGUGCUCCACGGCCCUCCCGCAAGGCCACUUCUGCCCUGCAGCUUCCUGCCCUUCCCAGGGAAGAGGUGCCUUUCAGCUGCACCCUCAUGCCUAGCUCUCCUGGUCUCCCUGAGCAAGAUGCAAGUCCUCAGUAGCAGAGAGCCAGAUCUGAAAUGGCCCCCAGCUAGGGACAGGGCCAGCCUCCUUGGAAACUUAAGAACUGCGAAUAAAACAAUGCUGAAUACCA
Long non-coding RNA from Marmota monax (woodchuck), 2721 nucleotides. RefSeq lists it as uncharacterized. The transcript is spliced from 2 exons. The record is from RefSeq and is a predicted model, not a curated record. NCBI's taxonomy places the organism in Eukaryota, Metazoa, Chordata, Mammalia, Rodentia, Sciuridae.